RNAcentral lists this ribosomal RNA (492 nucleotides) under uncultured bacterium. RNAcentral describes it as "partial 16S ribosomal RNA". It matches the Rfam family "Bacterial small subunit ribosomal RNA", at positions 29 to 507 of the family's 1533-position model. The record is from RNAcentral.
AGUGAACGCUGGCGGUAGGCCUAACACAUGCAAGUCGAACGGCAGCACAGUAAGAGCUUGCUCUUACGGGUGGCGAGUGGCGGACGGGUGAGGAAUACAUCGGAAUCUACUUUUUCGUGGGGGAUAACGUAGGGAAACUUACGCUAAUACCGCAUACGACCUACGGGUGGAAGCAGGGGAUCUUCGGACCUUGCGCGAUUGAAUGAGCCGAUGUCGGAUUAGCUAGUUGGCGGGGUAAAGGCCCACCAAGGCGACGAUCCGUAGCUGGUCUGAGAGGAUGAUCAGCCACACUGGAACUGAGACACGGUCCAGACUCCUACGGGAGGCAGCAGUGGGGAAUAUUGGACAAUGGGCGCAAGCCUGAUCCAGCCAUACCGCGUGGGUGAGGAAGGCCUUCGGGUUGUAAAGCCCUUUUGUUGGGAAAGAAAAGCAGCAGGUUAAUACCCCGCUGUUCUGACGGUACCCAAAGAAUAAGCACCGGCUAACUUCGUG